This 468-nucleotide ribosomal RNA is filed under the name uncultured bacterium. RNAcentral's name for it is "partial 16S ribosomal RNA". It matches the Rfam family "Bacterial small subunit ribosomal RNA", at positions 28 to 507 of the family's 1533-position model. The record is from RNAcentral.
GACGAACGCUGGCGGCGUGCUUAACACAUGCAAGUCGAACGGAAAGGCCCUGCUUUUGUGGGGUGCUUGAGUGGCGAACAGGUGAGUAACACGUGAGUAACCUGCCCUUGACUUUGGGAUAACUUCAGGAAACUGGGGCUAAUACCGGAUAGGAGCUCCUGCUGCAUGGUGGGGGUUGGAAAGUUUCGGCGGUUGGGGAUGGACUCGCGGCUUAUCAGCUUGUUGGUGGGGUAGUGGCUUACCAAGGCUUUGACGGGUAGCCGGCCUGAGAGGGUGACCGGCCACAUUGGGACUGAGAUACGGCCCAGACUCCUACGGGAGGCAGCAGUGGGGAAUAUUGCACAAUGGGCGGAAGCCUGAUGCAGCAACGCCGCGUGCGGGAUGACGGCCUUCGGGUUGUAAACCGCUUUCGCCUGUGACGAAGCGUGAGUGACGGUAAUGGGUAAAGAAGCACCGGCUAACUACGUG